GACGAACGCUGGCGGCGUGCUUAACACAUGCAAGUCGAACGAAGAGCGAUGGAAGCUUGCUUCUAUCAAUCUUAGUGGCGAACGGGUGAGUAACGCGUAAUCAACCUGCCCUUCAGAGGGGGACAACAGUUGGAAACGACUGCUAAUACCGCAUACGAUCUAAUCUCGGCAUCGAGGAAAGAUGAAAGGUGGCCUCUAUUUAUAAGCUAUCACUGAAGGAGGGGAUUGCGUCUGAUUAGCUAGUUGGAGGGGUAACGGCCAACCAAGGCGAUGAUCAGUAGCCGGUCUGAGAGGAUGAACGGCCACAUUGGGACUGAGACACGGCCCAGACUCCUACGGGAGGCAGCAGUGGGGAAUCUUCCGCAAUGGACGAAAGUCUGACGGAGCAACGCCGCGUGAGUGAUGACGGCCUUCGGGUUGUAAAGCUCUGUUAAUCGGGACGAAAGGCCUUCUUGCGAACAGUUAGAAGGAUUGACGGUACCGGAAUAGAAAGCCACGGCUAACUACGUG
RNAcentral lists this ribosomal RNA (510 nucleotides) under uncultured bacterium. RNAcentral describes it as "partial 16S ribosomal RNA". It matches the Rfam family "Bacterial small subunit ribosomal RNA", at positions 28 to 507 of the family's 1533-position model. The record is from RNAcentral.